RNAcentral lists this long non-coding RNA (751 nucleotides) under Homo sapiens (human). Its description in RNAcentral is "HSALNT0101473". Lineage: Eukaryota; Metazoa; Chordata; Mammalia; Primates; Hominidae. The record is from RNAcentral.
GGAAUUUUUGCCAAGCAGGAAAAGAACUCAGGGCUGAAGACAUUAUGGAGAAAGACUGGAAUAAUCAUAAGAAAGGAAAAGACUGUUCCAAGCUUGGGAAAAAGUGUAUUUAUCAGCAGUUAGUGAGAGGAAGAAAAAUCAGAAGAAGUUCAGAGGAACACCUAAGACAAACCAGGUCGGAGACCAUGAGAAACAGCGUCAAAUCAUCUUUUCAUGAUCCCAAGCUGAAAGGCAAGCCCUCCAGAGAGCGUUAUGUGACCCACAACCGAGCACAUUGGUGACAGACCUUCGGGGCCUGUCUGAAGCCAUAGCCUCCACGGAGAGCCCUGUGGCCGACUCUGCACUCUCCACCCUGGCUGGGAUCAGAGCAGGAGCAUCCUCUGCUGGUUCCUGACUGGCAAAGGACCAGCGUCCUCGUUCAAAACAUUCCAAGAAAGGUUAAGGAGUUCCCCCAACCAUCUUCACUGGCUUCCAUCAGUGGUAACUGCUUUGGUCUCUUCUUUCAUCUGGGGAUGACAAUGGACCUCUCAGCAGAAACACACAGUCACAUUCGAAUUCGGGUGGCAUCCUCCGGAGAGAGAGAGAGGAAGGAGAUUCCACACAGGGGUGGAGUUUCUGACGAAGGUCCUAAGGGAGUGUUUGUGUCUGACUCAGGCGCCUGGCACAUUUCAGGGAGAAACUCCAAAGUCCACACAAAGAUUUUCUAAGGAAUGCACAAAUUGAAAACACACUCAAAAGACAAACAUGCAAG